RNAcentral lists this ribosomal RNA (491 nucleotides) under uncultured bacterium. RNAcentral's name for it is "partial 16S ribosomal RNA". It matches the Rfam family "Bacterial small subunit ribosomal RNA", at positions 29 to 507 of the family's 1533-position model. The record is from RNAcentral.
GUGCACGCUGGCGGUAGGCCUCACCCAUGCCAGUCGCACGGCAGCACAGUAAGAGCUUGCUCUUACGGGUGGCGAGUGGCGGACGGGUGAGGAAUACAUCGGAAUCUACUUUUUCGUGGGGGAUAACGUAGGGAAACUUACGCUAAUACCGCAUACGACCUACGGGUGAAAGCAGGGGAUCUUCGGACCUUGCGCGAUUGAAUGAGCCGAUGUCGGAUUAGCUAGUUGGCGGGGUAAAGGCCCACCAAGGCGACGAUCCGUAGCUGGUCUGAGAGGAUGAUCAGCCACACUGGAACUGAGACACGGUCCAGACUCCUAAGGGAGGCAGCAGUGGGGAAUAUUGGACAAUGGGCGCAAGCCUGAUCCAGCCAUACCGCGUGGGUGAAGAAGGCCUUCGGGUUGUAAAGCCCUUUUGUUGGGAAAGAAAAGCAGCAGGUUAAUACCCCGCUGUUCUGACGGUACCCAAAGAAUAAGCACCGGCUAACUUCGUG